GAUAAACGCUGGCGGCGCACAUAAGACAUGCAAGUCGAACGAACUUAAUCGUUAGUUUACUAAUGAAGCGGUUAGUGGCGGACUGGUGAGUAACACGUAAGCAACCUGCCUAUUAGAGGGGAACAACAGUUAGAAAUGACUGCUAAUACCGCAUAUGCCAUAAGUAUCGCAUGAUACAAGUGGGAAAGGAGCAAUCCGCUAAUAGAUGGGCUUGCGUCUGAUUAGAUAGUUGGUGGGGUAACGGCCUACCAAGUCGACGAUCAGUAGCCGAGUUGAGAGACUCUACGGCCACAUUGGGACUGAGAUACGGCCCAGACUCCUACGGGAGGCAGCAGUCGGGAAUAUUGCGCAAUGGAGGAAACUCUGACGCAGUGACGCCGCGUGCAGGAAGAAGGUUUUCGGAUUGUAAACUGCUUUAGACAGGGAAGAAAAAGACAGUACCUGUAGAAUAAGCUCCGGCUAACUACGUG
Molecule: ribosomal RNA, 470 nt
Filed under: uncultured organism
Description: bacterial SSU rRNA
Rfam family: Bacterial small subunit ribosomal RNA
Source: RNAcentral